RNAcentral lists this ribosomal RNA (674 nucleotides) under uncultured bacterium. RNAcentral's name for it is "bacterial SSU rRNA". It matches the Rfam family "Bacterial small subunit ribosomal RNA", at positions 94 to 803 of the family's 1533-position model. The record is from RNAcentral.
AGUGGCAAACGGGUGAGUAUAAUGUGGGAAUCUGCCUUUUGGUCUGGAAUAACACGAGGAAACUUGUGCUAAUACCGGAUAAGCCUUCACAGGGAAAGUUUUAAUGCCAAAAGAUGAGCCCGCACUUGAUUAGCUAGUUGGUAAGGUAAUAGCUUACCAAGGCAACGAUCAAUAGCUGUUCUUAGAGGAAGACCAGCCACAUUGGGACUGAGACACGGCCCAAACUCCUACGGGAGGCAGCAGUGGGGAAUCUUGCACAAUGGGGGCAACCCUGAUGCAGCGAUGCCGCGUGAGUGAAGAAGGCCUUUGGGUUGUAAAACUCUUUCGUCGGGGAAGAAAAUGACUGUACCCGAAUAAGAAGGUCCGGCUAACUUCGUGCCAGCAGCCGCGGUAAUACGAAGGGACCUAGCGUAGUUCGGAAUUACUGGGCUUAAAGAGCUCGUAGGUGGUUAAAAAAGUUGAUGGUGAAAUCCCAAGGCUCAACCUUGGAACUGCCAUCAAAACUUUUUAGCUAGAGUAUGAUAGAGGAAAGUGGAAUUUCUAGUGUAGAGGUGAAAUUCGUAGAUAUUAGAAAGAACACCAAAUGCGAAGGCAACUUUCUGGAUCAUUACUGACACUGAGGAGCGAAAGCAUGGGUAGCGAAGAGGAUUAGAUACCCUCGUAGUCCAUGCCGA